This 220-nucleotide unclassified non-coding RNA is filed under the name Hevea brasiliensis (rubber tree). The record is from RNAcentral. Lineage: Eukaryota; Viridiplantae; Streptophyta; Magnoliopsida; Malpighiales; Euphorbiaceae.
GUUUUUUAGGUUAAUGUUCUAAUGUUUAAAUUUGAAAUUUUUUUCCCUAUUUAUUUGUAUUUUGUUAGCUGUUUUAAAUUUCUUAUCAGGCCAUUUCCGGAUUGAUCAUAGAUUUGGUUGAUGGAGUUGGAAAUUAGCGUCGGUUUCUCAUAUCGUAAUGAUUUUGCUGUGAAUUAUUGUCUGGUGGUGCUUUGGUCAUCAGAAAUAGCUAGCUUGCUUG